CUGAAAGUGCACCGUGUAUAAAGUUAUAGAAAUGUUAACGAAUCCCAAGCCGUUUCAUCUUGUUGUUCUUUCGCGUUGGUCUUCAUUCCAAAGUCUCCAAAGUGUAUUCUUUAUUCAUUAUUUGCCACUAGAACCAUAGACAGUAAAAGAAAUGGACACAGCGACCCCAUUGGAACUCAAUUGAGACAAGUGAAGCCCAUUUUUAGCUAUUUUUAGCACUUCCGUUUCUGACGCGCAGACUCAAACUAAGCUUGAUGACUCGAGUGGUUAUGACGCAAUCGUUAGCCUAUUUUUACAAAAACUGUUUCUACGGGGCCAUAAUGUAACAUAGAAGGUAAUGGAGCCCUUUAUACAUUGUCGUGUAUCCUUAGAAAUAAAUAAUGAUCAAACGGAGUCUUUAAACACCUCAGAUGUAAAGUUAUUCGCUGUCAAAGUGACGCCAAAAUGAAUGGGAGUCAAUGGGAAUGCUAACGCAAGUGAAGUUCUGCUACAAGAUGGCGGCAGGCGGCCGACUUCAACUUCCGGUCGACUUC
This is a long non-coding RNA of Carassius carassius (crucian carp), 533 nucleotides long. RefSeq lists it as uncharacterized. The transcript is spliced from 3 exons. The record is from RefSeq and is a predicted model, not a curated record. Lineage: Eukaryota; Metazoa; Chordata; Actinopteri; Cypriniformes; Cyprinidae.